Non-coding RNA from Phoenix dactylifera (date palm), 1925 nucleotides. The record is from RefSeq and is a predicted model, not a curated record. Lineage: Eukaryota; Viridiplantae; Streptophyta; Magnoliopsida; Arecales; Arecaceae.
CUCCGCCAAGCCCUUUCCUUCCUCUUUCUUCUUCUUCUCCGGUGGCCGGCGUGGUACGCCGGCCGGGCACCACUAUCCGAAGCCUCUUCUCUUCUUAUUUUCUUUUGUGUGCUCUAUUUCACUAUUUUGAGACCCCUAUUUUCAUCGGAAGUUGCCGCCGCCGCCGCCGCCCGAGCUGCCUCGGUGCACCUGAUCUGCCUAACUGAAGUAGAAUUUUUGAAACGAGAAGAGGUAAGUAACAUAUUGCUUUAAUGUGUGCUUUCCAAAUUUUUAGUAAAAUAAUAGUUAGUUGAUUAAAUUUAAUUAUGAUAUCUAUUUUAUACUUAGUUAAACGAGUCAGGCAUAUUAAUGUUAUGAUAUUGAUCAUUUUAAAUUAUGAUAUGUGUUAUAAAAUUUAGAAAAUAUGACCGAACAAAUUAUGAAAUUAGUUUUUAUAUCUAUGUAUUCUCAGCACGGCUAUAUUUUGACCCAUCUAAUAAAAAUUAUUCGUUAGCCCUGUCGACUUGUAAUCUGAGAAACUGAUUUUGACACCGCACCACAGUGAUUAGAAUAGUAGUAUUUGGACACUAUAUCAUCGAUAGUUAAGAAUAGUCAUAUUUGACACUUUGUACGUUCUGACCCAUGCCACUGCUUACGUGGUCAUAGCUUAUUAUUAGAUUUUUAGUAUUAUUUGAAUAAGUUCUUGAUUAAAUAAAUUUUUAAAAAUUAUUAUUGCUUUGAUAUGAUCUAUAACCUUAUAUGCUUGUAUGGUCCAUUAUACAAGUAUGCAGCUAUUACGUUCUAGGUUCGGAGCAUGGCAACAAUAACUUUUUAUUUUGGUCAAUGCACUUCCCUUGCUUCUUUACAGUAUUACCCUUAUAAGGGUAUGAAAAUCAUAUCAGCACAAAAUAUCCAUGCAUCCCUAGUCUUAUAUAAUACAUGAUAUACAACCAAUACCAUAUUAAACUAGUAAGGACCUAUCUGGAUGCCAGAAGAUCUUAAAUCUUUCUAUGAAAAAUGCUUGGGUUGCCCAUAAAUUACACAUGAAAAGUUUAUUUGGGUUACCGAAACCCUAUUUGACAAGAAGAGUGAUCACAUAAACCACGGGCACUCUACUAGCAUAAUUGGAAACCAAAAACUAUACUGAGAUCUUAUCACAUGAAAAAAUAAUUCAGUUUAUCACAAUUGUUAUGAGAAACACCAAGCAACACCAAAGUGAUCAGCUAGAUAAAGAUCAUCAAGGGAGAAAACAGCACUGGAUAAUUCGUCUUUUAAGCUUGGUGAAGAACCUAUUAACUAAUUAUUCUGAGUUGCAAUUUAGGAACUAAACCGAAGUGCAAUAACAACCAGCCUCAAGCUUCCGGUGGCCUCACUGAAAUUAGAUCUUUCUAUUCAAAAGAAAGACCUUAUGGACUGCAGUCCAUUGUUUAAAUUUCCUUGGGAAACACCAGAUAUACACACCACAAUCUCUGAAUCUCCUGCUGAAUUAUGCACCAUUUUUAUAGUUAGACAACAAAGUAUAUCACAAAUUACAACUGUUCAGAUCCUGGUAUGCAAUUGCUUAGCACUCUGAACCUCAGGUCACCAUUCAAUGUUAUUAAGAUAUCCAUCAUUGUAAGUGUAAUUAACUUAUCUCACAAGAUAAAUUUAAGAAUAUUUUUUCUUGACAUGCAACACAAAUACAAACAGUUCUUAUGAUCAAUUAGCAGUGUACGUAUUGGGAAUCAACUCACUUCUAUCCUCCCUGAUGGUACAACAGAUUCAUCUUAGCCAAUAACCCAAGCAUUCUCGUUCAAGACAAUCAGUUCCAAACCGUGGAUUAGCAUCCAUGGAUGUCUUGUGCACAAGGCCCAUAAGAAUAAUGGGUUGAAGAACAGAGAGGCAGGAGGGAUGUCACUGACACUCUUAAAUGCUGAGUUAAUUCAGACAAUAUACAGAACAUGAUU